CAGACAGAAAAGACACAUGUGAAGUCAAUUCAUUAUUCCCAUGGGACACUGUCAAUUGUCACCUUAAUUGUAAUACUUUUAUAAGUGAUUGUUUAGACAUAUAAAUACUGGGUGGUUCCUGUAAUACACUUUGAAGCUUUGAACAACCGUGUGGUGUGCUGUGGGUUUUUUCCCUCCCAGGCCUGCCUCUGGAUCUUUGCUUUCUAUACCUGGCUCGAGCAUUAUUGUGGUUUAUGCUGUGCAUACUUCAUUCUUAAUUAUGCUUAUUACUAUCUCACCUGUGCUUUGAAUGCACACCAAGCUAACGGAAUGCCUGAGCCCCUGGUCCAAGUAGUAUGUGGCUGGGUUAGCUUGUUGUUGAAACAAGGGCCCAGGAAAGGGACGGGUCCUCUCCUGGUCCCAGUACAGCAGCAUGUUGCUCUUGUUACGUAUUUUAAGAGCCUGAGCUACCCACACCUAGCCCCUAGGAAGCAGGACCAAACAUAUAAGGCGUAAAUAGGCCAUGCGGAUCCUACCAACAGUCAACAUCGAGCAAAAGCUCUUCAGAAUCUCCUGGCAGCGAGCAGACAAGGGGUUAAUGUUUUUGAUCAGCUGGGAGACGCUCAGCACGUGCUAGACACGCUUCCACCUCCUUUUGCUCCGUAGUUUACAAUACCGAAAUACUUUAACAAAUAAAGUCUCUUAAAAGCUAUCCUGGAUUGGAACACUUUCUUGGAAGAACUCAGCAAAAUUGGUGACCCUGCCGUUCUUGGAAAGCACCGGGACCGAGACUCGAAGCACGCGGCCAUUGGGAUGCAAUACAAGCUUUUUGCAGGCGCCACUGAAAGCUUCAACUUUUCUGCCAUUGCCUCCUCUGCUGGGUUUGAUUGAUCAAGAUGAGUUUUCAUCUCAUAAAGUUUGCCAACGGGGACAUUGCUGUGGUCCCGGAAAAUUGGUGUGAUGACGGGAUGGUGUAUUGGCCAAAAUAUAAAAACACCGAACGGGCCAAAAGGGCAGCGGCCAACAGUGAGACACCAGAGUCAAACUUGCCAAAAUAUGACGUGAUGAUAAUCAGAACUUGUGGUAUGCCAAUUCAUAAAACUGUAGUUUAAAGAAAAUGUUAUGGUUUCUUCUCCUUCUGCUUGGAAUAACAUAUUCUGUCUAUGUUUUGAAAAUUGUCUUGCAUUGCUUUAAUUUUUGGUAUGAGCAGCAGUGCUGAGUAUGUA
Molecule: long non-coding RNA, 1205 nt
Organism: Gadus morhua (Atlantic cod)
Lineage: Eukaryota; Metazoa; Chordata; Actinopteri; Gadiformes; Gadidae
Exons: 3
Source: RefSeq, a predicted model, not a curated record